This 710-nucleotide ribosomal RNA is filed under the name uncultured Pantoea sp. Its description in RNAcentral is "bacterial SSU rRNA". It matches the Rfam family "Bacterial small subunit ribosomal RNA", at positions 32 to 728 of the family's 1533-position model. The record is from RNAcentral. Lineage: Bacteria; Pseudomonadati; Pseudomonadota; Gammaproteobacteria; Enterobacterales; Erwiniaceae.
AACGCUGGCGGCAGGCCUAACACAUGCAAGUCGGACGGUGGCACAGAGGAGCUUGCUCCUUGGGUGACGAGUGGCGGACGGGUGAGUAAUGUCUGGGGAUCCGCCCGAUAGAGGGGGAUAACCACUGGAAACGGUGGCUAAUACCGCAUAACGUCGCAAGACCAAAGAGGGGGACCUUCGGGCCUCUCACUAUCGGAUGAACCCAGAUGGGAUUAGUCCUAGUAGGCGGGGUAAUGGCCCCUAGGCGACGAUCCCUAGCUGGUCUGAGAGGAUGACCAGCCACACCGGAACUGAGACACGGUCCAGACUCCUACGGGAGGCAGCAGUGGGGAAUAUUGCACAAUGGGCGCAAGCCUGAUGCAGCCAUGCCGCGUGUAUGAAGAAGGCCUUCGGGUUGUAAAGUACUUUCAGCGGGGAGGAAGGCGGUGAGGUUAAUAAGCUCGACCCGAUUGAGCCGUUACCCGCAGAAGAAGCACCGGCUCCGUGCCAGCAGCCGCGGUAAUACGGAGGGUGCAAGCGUUAAUCGGAAUUACUGGGCGUAAAGCGCACGCAGGCGGUCUGUUAAGUCAGAUGUGAAAUCCCCGGGCUUAACCUGGGGAACUGCAUUUGAGACUGGCAGGCUUGAGUCUCGUAGAGGGGGGGUAGAAUUCCCAGGUGUAGCGGUGAAAUGCGUAGAGAUCUGGAGGAAUACCGGUGGCGAAGGGCCCCCU